RNAcentral lists this long non-coding RNA (498 nucleotides) under Cricetulus griseus (Chinese hamster). RNAcentral describes it as "lncRNA (ENSCGRG00000025117.1)". Lineage: Eukaryota; Metazoa; Chordata; Mammalia; Rodentia; Cricetidae. The record is from RNAcentral.
AAGAAGGCCCACAGAUGACACAUGGUCACAAGCAGUCUCAACCCUCAAAGUCCAGUCCUGGGAAAGUAGCUCUGCUGGCCUGAGGGUACAGAGAAGAGAAGGGGGCUCACCCACCCCCUGGAUCCUUCUGGCACCCAAGAAGGGUUGAGACCCACAGGUUGAGAACCUCUGCUCUGGACAAAUUCUGCAAGUACAGGGACCAAGGCCAAAGUGUAGAGGGGAGCCCAGUGUUAUGCUCUUCCCCCUAGUGUGACAUUCAAUAAAUGUUGGGGAAGGAAGAAAACGUCUCCGGAUGCUCCUUGGGACGCUAAGAUCUGCAGAAGGGCCUGUUCAUGUGCUCCAGGAGUGACACCUGGAACCAAUUUGACCUCCUAUGACAUUAAGUUGAUCGGCUCCACAACUGUCACCAAGUAUAGAGCAUGGAGGGGAUCCAGGUUAGGUAAGUUUUGGUGGGAAAGGGGUGUCUUGGGCCCAGUGGUGCCAGAGCCAUAUGCAGAG